This is a non-coding RNA of Tinamus guttatus (white-throated tinamou), 118 nucleotides long. NCBI's taxonomy places the organism in Eukaryota, Metazoa, Chordata, Aves, Tinamiformes, Tinamidae. The record is from RefSeq and is a predicted model, not a curated record.
CUAUACUUUUUAGCAAUGGGCAAAACUAUAGCUUGCAUUCUGAUGUUAACACCACUUCUGCAGAGCUGAGUGAAGCUAUGCCAGUAUUCACACCUACUGAGUAUGUAAAACUCAUCUG